Molecule: ribosomal RNA, 499 nt
Filed under: uncultured Glomeromycotina
Lineage: Eukaryota; Fungi; Glomeromycota
Description: partial small subunit ribosomal RNA
Rfam family: Eukaryotic small subunit ribosomal RNA
Source: RNAcentral
CCAAUAGCGUAUAUUAAAGUUGUUGCAGUUAAAAAGCUCGUAGUUGAAUUUCGGGAUUAGUACGUUGGUCGUGCCUUAGGUACGUACUGGUGUUACUGGUUCCUACCUUCUGACGAACCAUCAUGUCAUUAAUUUGGUGUGGCGGGGAAUCAGGACUGUUACUUUGAAAAAAUUAGAGUGUUUAAAGCAGGCUCGCGCUUGAAUACAUUAGCAUGGAAUAAUGAAAUAGGACGUUGACCCUAUUUUGUUGGUUUCUAGGAUUGACGUAAUGAUUAAUAGGGUUAGUUGGGGGCAUUAGUAUUCAAUUGUCAGGGGUGAAAUUCUUGGAUUUAUUGAAGACUAACUACUGCGAAAGCAUUUGCCAAGGAUGUUUUCAUUAAUCAAGAACGAAAGUUAGGGGAUCGAAGACGAUCAGAUACCGUCGUAGUCUUAACCAUAAACUAUGCCGACUAGGGAUCGGAUGAUGUUAAUUUUUUAAUGACUCAUUCGGCGCCUUACG